UACGGAGGGGGCAAGCGUUAUUCGGAAUUACUGGGCGUAAAGGGCGCGUAGGCGGACAGUUUAGUCAGAGGUGAAAGCCCAGGGCUCAACUGGGGAACUGCACAGGAGACUGCUUGGCUUGAGUUCGGGAGAGGGAAGCGGAAUUCCGGGUGUAGCGGUGAAAUGCGUAGAUAUCCGGAGGAACACCGAUGGCGAAGGCAAUCCCCUGGGCCUGUACUGACGCUCAUGCACGAAAGCGUGGGGAGCAAACAGG
RNAcentral lists this ribosomal RNA (253 nucleotides) under uncultured bacterium. Its description in RNAcentral is "partial 16S ribosomal RNA". It matches the Rfam family "Bacterial small subunit ribosomal RNA", at positions 524 to 776 of the family's 1533-position model. The record is from RNAcentral.